Corvus hawaiiensis (hawaiian crow) is the source of this 288-nucleotide long non-coding RNA. RefSeq lists it as uncharacterized. The record is from RefSeq and is a predicted model, not a curated record. The transcript is spliced from 2 exons. Lineage: Eukaryota; Metazoa; Chordata; Aves; Passeriformes; Corvidae.
ACUGGGAGCACUGGGAGCUUUGGAGGGGUCACUGGUCCAUACUGGGAGCACUGGGAGGGGUCACCGGUCCAUACUGGGAACACUGGGAGGGGUCACUGGUCCAUGCUGGUCCAUACUGGGAGCAAUGGGAGGGGUCCCUGGUCCACACUGGUCCAUACUGGUCCAUACUGGGAGCGCUGGGGCCUCCCCAGUCCCUCCCGGGCCCCCUUUAAACCCCUCCCGAUGACGUCACCGCGCUCCCCGUGACGUCACUCCCCCGCCCUCCAAUAAAGCGCAGUUCAAACCCCG